AGGCGCAGCUGAUCCAGCCAUUCCGCGUGCAGACGAAGGCUUCGGGUUGUAAACUGCUUUUGUACGGAACGAAAAAGCCUCGGUUAAUACCCGGGGUCCAUGACGGUACCGUAAGAAUAAGCACCGGCUAACUACGUGCCAGCAGCCGCGGUAAUACGUAGGGUGCGAGCGUUAAUCGGAAUUACUGGGCGUAAAGCGUGCGCAGGCGGUUAUAUAAGAACAGAUGUGACAAUCCCCGAGGGCUCUAACGCUGGGGAAAACUGGCAAUUUGGUAGAACUGCUACUAGUCCUAGGAGAUGGCGGGCGAGCAAGGGGACGGACUUGGUAAAUAUCCCAGGCGGAUGCUUAGCCAAAGCUGAAAAAAUUCGCCUG
RNAcentral lists this ribosomal RNA (372 nucleotides) under uncultured bacterium. RNAcentral describes it as "bacterial SSU rRNA". It matches the Rfam family "Bacterial small subunit ribosomal RNA", at positions 373 to 703 of the family's 1533-position model. The record is from RNAcentral.